GCCUUAGUGGUGUAGUGGUCAGCACAUUCGGCGCGUAUUCGAGAAGUCUGUUGUUCGAAUCCCGGCAAGGGCA
Molecule: transfer RNA, 73 nt
Filed under: Stegodyphus mimosarum
Lineage: Eukaryota; Metazoa; Arthropoda; Arachnida; Araneae; Eresidae
Rfam family: tRNA
About the family: Transfer RNA (tRNA) molecules are approximately 80 nucleotides in length. Their secondary structure includes four short double-helical elements and three loops (D, anti-codon, and T loops).
Source: Rfam by way of RNAcentral